This 235-nucleotide ribosomal RNA is filed under the name uncultured bacterium. Its description in RNAcentral is "partial 16S ribosomal RNA". It matches the Rfam family "Bacterial small subunit ribosomal RNA", at positions 1257 to 1500 of the family's 1533-position model. The record is from RNAcentral.
GUGACCGGAUGCCGAUCUCGAAAACCUGUCCCAGUUCGGACUGGAGUCUGCAACCCGACUCCACGAAGUUGGAUUCGCUAGUAAUCGCGCAUCAGCCAUGGCGCGGUGAAUACGUUCCCGGGCCUUGUACACACCGCCCGUCAAGCCAUGGGAGCCGGGGGCGCCUGAAGUCCGGGACCGCGAGGACCGGCCUAGGGCGAAACUGGUGACUGGGGCUAAGUCGUAACAAGGUAUC